UGUUGUUCAUGAUCGUAUGUUUUCAAGGGAGGCUGAAUUGAAUUGAUUUUGGUUUAUGUCAGAACAUACCUUUAACACAAUAAGGAAAUAAAGUCAGUCACAUUACGUUGCACUUUUCCAUGUCAGAGGUCAUUUUUUGUGCACUUGAUCACAGCGUUCAGAGUCAUCCUACAGAUCUCUAUCUGGUGCGUUCUGUGUUCUCCCCUGCCUCCUCCCUGCAGUCUCCAAUCUCUUUCAGGUUGCACCUCCUGCAAACUCCACCUGUGUGCACCUUCCUCCACCCUAACAGGUCACUCUGUGCUCCUACUUAUUCUUAUACAUGCACCACAGUCAUUUCUAUCCUCUUCACAAAGCCCACCACCUUCUGUUCUGGCCGAGCAGCUGUGGCCAGAAGGUCGGUGGUGUAAUUCCUGGCCUCAGGAUCCAGGUGUCCUCAGACAAGACACCAAAACCCAAACUGUUCACGAUGGCUCUUCCAUCAGCAUGGUACCUGGUUCCUGGUAUCCUCGGCCACCGGCGUCCGAAUGUGUGUGACUGCUGGCUUUAGUUGUAAAGAGCUUUGAUUGGUCAGUCAGACUAGAAGAACCCAGUAUGAGUUCAGUCCAUCCGCCAUUCUAUAUUCCUGUCCAUGACAGAAGACCUACCCUCAUCAUCUCUUUUCCUUUGUCAACAUAUUGAAGUUUGCUCUUGUCACUCCUCCUCCUCCUCUUCCUUGUCCUGCUGCCCCUCCUCCUCCCGCUCGUCCUCCUCCUCCUACUCCUCAUCCUCGUCCUCCUCCUUUCCCUUCCAUCUCACACCCAACUUGUGGGCCAUCAUCACAGCUUCCAGCUUCAUACUCAGCACUCUGACACGCUCCUGCCUACCAGGGUUUCAUCUGACUUUGGACCAGCACUGAUGCACUGGCUGGAUUAAUCCACAGUGGCUGGAUUAAGGAUAGUGUUGUUAUAUGCAGAUGAUUCAUCAUUAUAUGCUGGUAUCAUCAUGUCUGUGCUGGCUUUUUUAGUGACAAUGGUAACAUUGGCAUUAACGUGCAUCAUUUCUUGCGUUGAUUGUUGCUUUUCUUCGUGGCUGAUUUUUUUUUUUUUUUUUUUGCAUUUACUACAGCUGAUAUGUGUCUGUGAGUCAAACUGGCCCUCUGGGCUGCACUCUAACACCUUUGGGUCUUUCAGAAGGAGAUGAUAUGAAAACAUAAAGCCUGAGCUCAGUCCGUGGGACCAGAGGUUGGUCGGUUCAGCACAGACCAGUCAGCACAGAGUGUGGACUCUGGAGCUGGAGAGGUGACUCCUCACCUCCAGGCCACUGCUGAGGUGCUCUUGAGCAAAGCACCAAACCCCAACUGCUGGAAUUUACUCAAGUACUGUACUUAAGUACAAUUUUGAGGAGGCUACGUUUGUAUGUCGAAAGUGGAUCCAAGGUCUGAAUCUGGAAACGGAUACAAGAUGUCUUUGGAGCGAGAGCUGCAGCUGAUGGAGGAAGAGGGACUGUGGACUCUUGUGGCCACUGAUGAGAUGAACAAA
Scatophagus argus is the source of this 1517-nucleotide RNA transcript. It is a transcript of the gene named methyltransferase-like protein 27, with no coding region annotated. The transcript is spliced from 2 exons. The record is from RefSeq and is a predicted model, not a curated record. Lineage: Eukaryota; Metazoa; Chordata; Actinopteri; Scatophagidae.